GAACGACUCUCGGCAACGGAUAUCUCGGCUCUUGCAUCGAUGAAGAACGUAGCGAAAUGCGAUACUUGGUGUGAAUUGCAGAAUCCCGUGAUCCAUCGAGUCUUUGAACGCAAGUUGCACCCGAAGCCAUUAGGCCGAGGGCACGCCUGUCUGGGUGUCACAC
RNAcentral lists this ribosomal RNA (163 nucleotides) under Lespedeza thunbergii subsp. formosa. RNAcentral describes it as "5.8S ribosomal RNA". It matches the Rfam family "5.8S ribosomal RNA". From Rfam's summary of the family: 5.8S ribosomal RNA (5.8S rRNA) is a component of the large subunit of the eukaryotic ribosome. It is transcribed by RNA polymerase I as part of the 45S precursor that also contains 18S and 28S rRNA. The record is from RNAcentral. Lineage: Eukaryota; Viridiplantae; Streptophyta; Magnoliopsida; Fabales; Fabaceae.